This is a long non-coding RNA of Oxyura jamaicensis (ruddy duck), 553 nucleotides long. RefSeq lists it as uncharacterized. NCBI's taxonomy places the organism in Eukaryota, Metazoa, Chordata, Aves, Anseriformes, Anatidae. The transcript is spliced from 3 exons. The record is from RefSeq and is a predicted model, not a curated record.
UGCAAGCUGUUUCAGAAAGAACUCGGCGCAGUACAAUUUGGUUGUCAGGGUUGAAGCAUACCGGUACGCUGUUUUCCUCGUGCAGUUAACAUUGGUUACCCAACUGGUAUUGCCAUAUGUUUUCAAAAAAUACAUAUUUCCUUACACUUCAUAACCCAUUUAUUAAAAAGAAAAGUGCAGCAUGUAUUUAAAGAGGUUCAGGUAUGUUCAUUUAAUCCCCCAAAGCAAUGAAAUUAACAUAUCUUUCUUUAUACUUGACCUGCAACUCAUUGGAGAAGGACCUGCCAAAGCUGCAUUUUUUUUUUUAAUAGUGUUAAUUGAGCAACUUCUUUAUCUGGUGACAAGAUGUUUACAGAUGAAAAAAAAAAACAAAACAUAAUAUAUUUGACUGAGACUAAAGGAAAAUGGUUUGCAUAUAUCUGUGUUAACGUAGCUUAACUCUGAUGCUGUACAUUUGGCAAAUUUGAAGUGACCAACCCAGUUCUGUACGUUUAUUUUCCUUCAGACACAACCUGCCUUAUCUCUUUUAACACUUGGCAGAUGUAAGAAUGCA